This 74-nucleotide transfer RNA is filed under the name Huiozyma naganishii CBS 8797. RNAcentral's name for it is "tRNA-Arg (TCT) (tRNA-Arg-TCT-2-1)". It matches the Rfam family "tRNA". Rfam says of the family: Transfer RNA (tRNA) molecules are approximately 80 nucleotides in length. The record is from RNAcentral. Lineage: Eukaryota; Fungi; Ascomycota; Saccharomycetes; Saccharomycetales; Saccharomycetaceae.
GCUCGCAUGGCGUAAUGGCAACGCGUCUGACUUCUAAUCAGAAGAUUCUGGGUUCGUACCCCCACGUGUGAGUG